Molecule: long non-coding RNA, 4987 nt
Filed under: Homo sapiens (human)
Lineage: Eukaryota; Metazoa; Chordata; Mammalia; Primates; Hominidae
Description: non-protein coding lnc-ZGLP1-4:1
Source: RNAcentral
CUGGUUCUUGUGUAUAAGCUGGCCGGCCACCUCCAGGGUUGCAGAGCAGGAGAAGCUGCGCCCGUUGUCCUCUGGGGUGGCCUUCAGCAGGAGCUGGGCCCUCGGGCCCAGUGGCUGGGCUGGAACCCCAUUCAGCGUCACCUUGGCUCUAGGGUGGGCCUCACACUUCACUGUCACCUCGGUCCCUUCUGAGACCUCUGGCUUCGUCAGAAUCACGUUGGGCGCCGGAAAGCCUGGAAUAGGCACACAGUGAGCCCCGCCCCGGGUUCAGGUCACACCCCCAAGAAGCCCCACUCCGCCCCUGCCCCUUCUUACUGUAGAUGGUCACUGUCUGCAGUGUCUCCUGGCUCUGGUUCCCCAGUAUUACUGCACACGUCAGCCGCUGGGUGCCCUCGUCCUCUGCGGUCACACUGACUGAGGCCUUGGCCGAGAAGGAGUCGUUGCCAUAGGUGACUGUGGGGUUCAACCUCUGGUCCCCCAGUGCCAGGUGGACCUGGGCCUCCGAGACUGGGAACAGCCCGUCCAGGGAACAGACCACGGUCCCCUGCGUGUCCACCUCUAGGACCCGGGGGCUGACAAGUUGUGGGGGAGUCGCUGGCAGGACUAGGGAGAGAAGAAAGGUCUGGAGCUGGUAGGGGGCCGAGGUGUUCUCAAACAGCUCCAGCCCUUGGGGCCGCAGGUCCAGUUCAGUGCGGCACGAGAAAUUGGCUCCAUGGUGAUCUCUCCUCACCAGCACCGUGGUCGUGACCUCAGCGGGCUCCCCCACAGCUGGCUCCCGUUUCAGCUCCUUCUCCCCACGGAGCAGCACCACGGUGAGGUUGGCCCGGGGUGCCCCACCCUCCACCUGGCAGCGUAGGGUAAGGUUCUUGCCCACUGGCUGCCAAGAGGGGAGGGGUGCCAGUUCCACCCGUUCUGGAGUCCCUGCAGGAAAACAGAGGUGGGGGUGUCUGGUGAAGUGGACCUUGCUGCCUGCCUAACAGACGAACUGCACCUGCCUGGGAGCCCUACCUCUUCAGUAUCUCCCCCAAACACGCCCAGACACCUAAGCAGAUAGGAAUGUCAAGAUCUUCAGUGAAAACUGGUAAGAGGGCCCCGAGUGUUUGUGAAGGGGAUCAAAAUAUUCCUUAUUCAUGACAGCAGCAUCUUAGAGUGAAAAGUGGAAAAGAACUUCAAAGUCUAUUGCUAGGUGUCUGGUCAAAUAAAUUCAGCAGCCCAGUGCACUAGACUGGGCAAACAGUGGCUCGAUCUUGGCUCACUGCAACCUCUGCCUCUGGGAUUCAGGGGAUUCUCCUGCCUCAGCCUCCUGAGUAGCUUAGAUUACAGGCACACACCACCACACCAGGUUAAUUUUUGUAUUUUUAUUUUUAAUUAAUUAAUUAAUUAAGUUUUUAGACUGAGUCUCCUUCUGUCGCCCAGGCUGGAGGGUGAUGGCAUGAUCUUGGCUCACUGCAACCUCUGCCUCCUGGGUUCAAGCAAUUCUCCUGCCUCAACCUCCUGAGUAGCUGGGAUUACAGGCACGUGUCACCACACCCAGCUAAUUUUUGUAUUUUUAGUAGAAACGGGGUUUCAGCAUGUUGCCCAGGCUGGUCUCGAAUUCCUGACCUCAAGUGAUCUGCCCACCCCGGCCUCCCAAAGUGCUGGGAUUACAGGUGAAAGUAAAUGAGCCUGGCCUAGACAUUCUUUAAAAAACAAAACAAAACAAAAAAAAAAACCUGUUGGCCAGGUGUGAUGGCUCAGGCUGUAAUCCUAGCACUUUGUGAGGCCAAGGCAAGAGGGUCACUUGAGGCCAGGAGUUCAAGACAAGCCUGGGCAACAUAGGGAGACCCCCAUCUCUAAGAAAAAUUAAAAAAAGGUUGGCAGGGCGCGGUGGCUCACGCCUUUAAUCCCAGCACUUUGGGAGGCCAAGGAGGGUGGAUCCACGAAGUCAGGAGUUCGAGAUAAGCCUGACCAACAGAGUGAAACCCCGUCUCUAUUAAAAAUACAAAAAUUAGUCUGGCAUGGUGGUGCACGCCUGUAGUCUCAGCUACUCGGGAGGCUGAGGCAGGAGAAUCUCUUGAACCUGGGAGGUGGAGGUUGCAGUGAGCUGAGAUCGUGCCACUGCACUCCAGCCUAGGUGACAGAGCGAGACUCCAUCUCAAAAUAAAUGAAUGAAUGAAUGAAUGAAUGGUUAACUGGGUGUGGUGGUGCACACCUGUAGUCCCUGCUACUUGGGAGGCUGAGGCAGGAGGAUCACUUGAGCCCAGGAGUUUAAGGCUAUAGUGAACUGUGAUCAUGCCACUGUACUUUAGCCUGGGAAAGAAAGACCCUGUUUCUAUUAAAAAAAAAAAAAAGUCAGUAAUGACAGAGUCUAAUAACAAAAAGGCUGCGUGUGGUGGCUCACGCCUGUAAUCCCAACACUUUGGGGGGCCGAGGCAGGCGGAUCACCUGAGGUCAGGAGUUCAAGACCAGCCUGGCCAAUAUAGUGAAACCCCGUCUCUACCUAAAAAUACAAAAAUUAGCCAGGCGUGGUGUUGUGUGCCUGUAGUCCCAGCUACUUGAGAGGCUGAGGUUUACUUGUGAGGAAAGGAUUACUUCAGCCCAGGAGGCAGAGAUUGCAGUGAACUGAGAUCGCGCCACUGUACUCUAGACUGAGUGACAGAGUGAGAGUCUCUCUCAGAGGAAAAAAAAAAAAAAAAAAAAAGCAUCAGGACCGGGGGGGUCCUGCAUUUGAUACCCAGCCUUGCUUCUUUGCUGUGGGUAAGUGACUUUGUCUCUCUGAACCUCAGUUUCCUGAACUGUAAAAUAGGGCUAUUAAAGGUAGGAGAAUUCACUUAAGAGGUAGACAGAGUCGCUGUACAUAAGCAGGAGGUUUCUUUUUUAGAGUGAUUGAAAUAUUUUAAAAUUAGAUUGUAGUCAUGGUUGUUUGUACAGAAGUCAUUGAAUUAUGUGCUUAAAAGGGAUGAAUCUUAUGGUAUUCUAAAUCGUAUCUCAAGAAAGCAAGGCUGGGGCAUGGUGGCUCACAUCUGUAAUCCCAGUACUUUGGGAUGCCAAGGCGGGGUCAUUUGAGGCCAGGAGUUCAAGGCUAGCUUGGGCAACAUUGCAAGACCUCAUUUCUCCAAAAAAAAAAAAAAAAAUUAAAAACAAGCUGGGCUUCGGCAUGGCGUGGUGGCUUAUGCCUGUAAUCCCAGCACUUUGGGAGGCCAGAACAGAUGGAUCACCGGAAGUCAGGAGUUCAAGACCAGCCUGGCCAGGCCAGACAUGGUGGCUCACGCCUGUAAUCCCAGCACUUUGGGAGGCCAAGGCGGGCGGAUCACGAGGUCAGGAGAUCAAGACCAUCCUGGCUAACACGGUGAAACCCCGUCUCUACUAAAAAUACAAAAAAUUAGCCAGGCGUGGUGGUGGGCGCCUGUAGUCCCAGCUACUCAGGAGGCUAAGGCAGGAGGAUGGAGUGAACCCGGGAGGCGGAGCUUGCAGUGAGCCCAGAUCGAACCACUGCACUCCUGCCUGGGCGACAGAGUGAGACUCUGUCUCAAAAAAAAAAAAAAAAAAAAAAAGGCCGGGCACGGUGGCUCAUGCCUGUAAUCUCAGCACUUUGGGAGGCCGAGGCAGGUGGAUCAUCUGAGGUUGGGAGUUCGAGACCAGCCUGACCAACAUGGAGAAACCCUGUCUUUACUAAAAAUACAAAAUUAGCCUUGUGUGGUGUCGCAUGCCUGUAAUCCCAGCUACUCAGGUGGCUGAGGCAAGAGAAUAGCUUGAUCCUGGGGGUCGGAGGUUGUGGUGAGCUAAGAUCCUGCCAUUGCACUUCAGCCUGGGCAAUAAGAGCGAAACUCCGGUCUCAAACAAACAAACAAAAAACACCAAAGAAAAAAAAAAAACCAGCUGGGCUUCCUGCUGGCUCACACCUGUAGUCCCUGCUACUCAGGAGGCUAAGGGUGGGAGGAGGAUUUCUUGAGCCUGGGAGUUUGAGGCUGCAGUCAGCUACGAUUGUACCACUGCACUCCAGCCUGGGUGACAAAGUGAGACCCUGAGACCCUGUCUCUAAAAAUAAAACAGAAAGCUGUUAAGCUGUUAAAAACAAAAACAAAAAAAUAUAUAUAUAUAUAGUCAAGAAAACUCUGACCUCCAGCUCUUCUCUCUUACCACCUCCUAUAGACUCUUGCAGAACUUGAGGUACCCUCAAACCUCAGCCCCUAGAGGAAACCCAGCUCAGCUGCCUGGUGCAGCGGGGAGGAAGUCUGUCCUGCUCUCACCUCUUCUUGACCCUGACCUGCAGUCCUUUACCAAAUCCUGGUCACUGAAGUAUUCAAAUACUUGUCUGUCCUUCCCUUCUUGAAUACGGUCACUGCCCACAACAUGGGCCGCGUGGACAAGGACCAUAGCCAACUGCUCAUUGGCUUCCAGUAAAUCCAGCCUUCAGCUAUCUAAUCCCUGGCCUGCUCAGAAACCCUCCAUGACUCCCUAUCACCCCAAGAAGGAAAGUCCCAGCUCCUCCACCUGGCAUUCAAGGCUCUGCCAACCUCACCCUUCCUCCCAUCAAUCAAUUUUUUUUUUUUUUUUAGGGGCAGUGUCUCUCUCUGUCACCUGGGCUGGAAUGCAGUGGUGCAAUCAUAGCUGACUGUAACCUCAAAUUCCUGGGCUUGACCAGGCUCAGUGGCUCACACCUAUAAUCCCAGCACUUUGGGAAACUGAGGCAGGAGGAUCUCUUGCGGUCAGGCGUUCAAGACCAGCCUGGCUAACAUGGUAAACCCUAUCUCUACUAAAAAUACAAAAAAAUUAGCUGGGCAUGAUGGUGGGCACCUUAAUCCCAGCAACUCGGGAGGCUCAGGCAGCAGAAUCGGUUGAACCCAGGAGGUGGAGGAGGCUGCAGUGAGCCAAGAUGGCACCACUGCACUCCAGCCUGGGCCACAGAGUGAGACUCCAUCUCAAAAAAACAAAAACAAAAACAAAAAAAUUCCUGGGUUCAAGUGAUCCUCCCACUUGAGCCUCCAGAGUAGUUGAGAAUACAAGC